AGUCGAACGAAGCAAUUAAGAUGAAGUUUUCGGAUGGAAUCUUGAUUGACUGAGUGGCGGACGGGUGAGUAACGCGUGGAUAACCUGCCUCACACUGGGGGAUAACAGUUAGAAAUGACUGCUAAUACCGCAUAAGCGCACAGUGCCGCAUGGCAGUGUGUGAAAAACUCCGGUGGUGUGAGAUGGAUCCGCGUCUGAUUAGCCAGUUGGCGGGGUAACGGCCCACCAAAGCGACGAUCAGUAGCCGACCUGAGAGGGUGACCGGCCACAUUGGGACUGAGACACGGCCCAAACUCCUACGGGAGGCAGCAGUGGGGAAUAUUGCACAAUGGGCGAAAGCCUGAUGCAGCGACGCCGCGUGAGUGAAGAAGUAUUUCGGUAUGUAAAGCUCUAUCAGCAGGGAAGAAAAUGACGGUACCUGACUAAGAAGCCCCGGCUAACUACGUGCCAGCAGCCGCGGUAAUACGUAGGGGGCAAGCGUUAUCCGGAUUUACUGGGUGUAAAGGGAGCGUAGACGGCGAAGCAAGUCUGAAGUGAAAACCCAGGGCUCAACCCUGGGACUGCUUUGGAAACUGUUUUGCUAGAGUGUCGGAGAGGUAAGUGGAAUUCCUAGUGUAGCGGUGAAAUGCGUAGAUAUUAGGAGGACACCAGCGGCGAAGGCGGCUUACUGGACGAUAACUGACGUU
RNAcentral lists this ribosomal RNA (686 nucleotides) under uncultured Lachnospiraceae bacterium. Its description in RNAcentral is "bacterial SSU rRNA". It matches the Rfam family "Bacterial small subunit ribosomal RNA", at positions 60 to 747 of the family's 1533-position model. The record is from RNAcentral. Lineage: Bacteria; Bacillati; Bacillota; Clostridia; Lachnospirales; Lachnospiraceae.